GAUGAACGCUGGCGGCGUGCCUAACACAUGCAAGUCGAGCGAACAGACGAGGAGCUUGCUCCUCUGACGUUAGCGGCGUACGGGUGAGUAACAUGUGGAUAACCUACCUUCAAGACUGGGAUAACUUCGGGAAACCGGUGCUAAUACCGGAUAAUCUUUUCAUCCGCAUGUUUCAAUAGUUAAUGACGGUUUUGCUGUUACUUAUAGAUUGAUCCCCGCCGCAUUAGCUAGUUGGUAAGGUAACGGCUUACCAAGGCCACGAUGAGUAGCCGACCUGUGCGGGUGCUGGGCGGCUGUGGGACUGAGACGCGGCCCAGACUCCUACGAGAGGCAGCAGUGGGGAAGCUGCCGCGAUGAGCGAAAGCCUGACGGAGCAACGCCGCAGGAGUGAUGCAGGACUUCGGAUCGUAAACGUGUGGUAUUAGGGAAGAACUAAUGUCGAAGUGACUAGGCGCGUCUUGACGGUACCUAAAGAAGAAGCAACGGCUAACUACGUG
RNAcentral lists this ribosomal RNA (497 nucleotides) under uncultured bacterium. Its description in RNAcentral is "partial 16S ribosomal RNA". It matches the Rfam family "Bacterial small subunit ribosomal RNA", at positions 28 to 507 of the family's 1533-position model. The record is from RNAcentral.